AGAGUUGGCUGUGGCUGAGUGGAAGAGCCUUUGCUUUGCAUGUAGAAAGCCCCAGGUUCAAACCUGGCAACUCCA
Molecule: transfer RNA, 75 nt
Filed under: Sphaerodactylus townsendi
Lineage: Eukaryota; Metazoa; Chordata; Lepidosauria; Squamata; Sphaerodactylidae
Description: tRNA-Ala
Rfam family: tRNA
About the family: Transfer RNA (tRNA) molecules are approximately 80 nucleotides in length. Their secondary structure includes four short double-helical elements and three loops (D, anti-codon, and T loops).
Source: RNAcentral